UAAAAUGCGAUGACAGGGCACAAGGCUGGGCGCUUCCCGGUGCAGAGAGCCGCCGGUUGGUGAAAGGCGGAGCGGGUUCCCGGCGUAUAAAUCCCCCUUGAGCAGUCAGGCUGAAACCACAGUAGGUCUGUCCGGUUCCUCCCCGUUACCGUGAGGGCGCAUGGAAUCACCAUGCGGUCAAAGUGGUCAAUGAUGACAACGAGAGUGGUACCGCGGAAGCAGCUUUGCCUUCGCCUCUUGA
RNAcentral lists this non-coding RNA (241 nucleotides) under [Clostridium] methylpentosum. RNAcentral's name for it is "Clostridium methylpentosum T-box sequence". It matches the Rfam family "T-box leader". Rfam says of the family: Uncharged tRNA acts as the effector for transcription antitermination of genes in the T-box leader family. Lineage: Bacteria; Bacillati; Bacillota; Clostridia; Eubacteriales; Oscillospiraceae. The record is from RNAcentral.